AAUCAACGCUGGCGGCGUGCCUCAGACAUGCAAGUCGAACGCGAAAGUUCCCUUCGGGGGGCGAGUAGAGUGGCGCACGGGUGAGUAACACGUAGGUAAUCUACCUUUGGGUGGGGAAUAACAGCCGGAAACGGCUGCUAAUACCGCAUAAUGCAGCGGCUCGACAUCGAGACAGUUGUUAAAGCGGGGGAUCGCAAGACCUCGCGCCUAAAGAGGAGCCUGCGGCGGAUUAGCUUGUUGGUGAGGUAAUGGCUCACCAAGGCAUCGAUCCGUAGCCGGCCUGAGAGGGCGGUCGGCCACACUGACACUGACAUACGGGUCAGACUCCUACGGGAGGCAGCAGUCGGGAAUUUUGGGCAAUGGGCGCAAGCCUGACCCAGCAACGCCGCGUGAAGGAU
This 398-nucleotide ribosomal RNA is filed under the name uncultured bacterium. RNAcentral describes it as "bacterial SSU rRNA". It matches the Rfam family "Bacterial small subunit ribosomal RNA", at positions 32 to 409 of the family's 1533-position model. The record is from RNAcentral.